UUGAGUAUGGUAUGAUUUAUCAUGUUAGAACUUAGCAGAAGCAUAAUUCGGUGCGGGAACCGCCGAUUAAUCGGCGAAGCUCUCCGGCGCCGGGGCUUCAUAAUCAAUUCUACCAUUACAUUAAGCCGUCGCUGGGGAAGAGCAGCAGAUCGUACAACAAUGGAGUUCGGAUUACUCCAGUUUUGAACAUUGCCCCAAAUUCUACUUCUAUAGAGUAGGCAGCAGCAAAUUAAUCAGGAUAAGAGAAAAGAUAAGUGUUCAUUUACGGCGUCGAAGAAGGAAGCCGCCACCACCGUCGAUAAGUUUAGAGCUGAAAAUUCCUGCUGUUAUUUUGAAGAAAUUCCUGCUGAAUCACUCGAUCAUUGUGAUGCUGCUGAAUAAAUCGGCACAGGAGUACGUGUACGAGCAGAAAGACUGUUAUUUUAAUACGAGUUGUUGACAUUUGAUAUUCUGCCUAU
Non-coding RNA from Salvia hispanica, 458 nucleotides. NCBI's taxonomy places the organism in Eukaryota, Viridiplantae, Streptophyta, Magnoliopsida, Lamiales, Lamiaceae. The record is from RefSeq and is a predicted model, not a curated record.